RNAcentral lists this unclassified non-coding RNA (340 nucleotides) under uncultured fungus. RNAcentral's name for it is "partial contains 5.8S ribosomal RNA and internal transcribed spacer 2". The stretch from base 1 to 133 matches the Rfam family "5.8S ribosomal RNA", at positions 22 to 154 of the family's 154-position model. Lineage: Eukaryota; Fungi. The record is from RNAcentral.
UGGUUCUGGCAUCGAUGAAGAACGCAGCGAAAUGCGAUAAGUAAUGUGAAUUGCAGAAUUCAGUGAAUCAUCGAAUCUUUGAACGCACAUUGCGCCCGCUAGUAUUCUGGCGGGCAUGCCUGUUCGAGCGUCCUCAAAAACCCUCGGGCCUUGGAGACCUGUUCUCCGGUGGCCCGGUGCUGGGGCGUCGCGGCAGCCGCGACCCCCUAAAUGCAGUGGCGGACCCCCCCGUGGCCCUGGCGUAUUAGCGUAAAAACUAGCCUUCGGCAACCGAGGUGGCCCUGCCCCCAAAUCCACGCUCAUAAAUUUGGACCUCGAAUCAGGUAGGAAUACCCGCUGA